RNAcentral lists this ribosomal RNA (253 nucleotides) under Blautia schinkii. Its description in RNAcentral is "partial 16S ribosomal RNA". It matches the Rfam family "Bacterial small subunit ribosomal RNA", at positions 524 to 776 of the family's 1533-position model. Lineage: Bacteria; Bacillati; Bacillota; Clostridia; Lachnospirales; Lachnospiraceae. The record is from RNAcentral.
UACGUAGGGGGCAAGCGUUAUCCGGAUUUACUGGGUGUAAAGGGAGCGUAGACGGAUUAGCAAGUCUGAUGUGAAAGGCAGGGGCUCAACCCCUGGACUGCAUUGGAAACUGCCAGUCUUGAGUGUCGGAGAGGUAAGCGGAAUUCCUAGUGUAGCGGUGAAAUGCGUAGAUAUUAGGAGGAACACCAGUGGCGAAGGCGGCUUACUGGACGGCAACUGACGUUGAGGCUCGAAAGCGUGGGGAGCAAACAGG